GUUCAUCUUUUUUUCCCCCUUUUAGGUCGGGAUCAAGAACCAGAGAUCGCAGGAGGUCACGCUCCCGGGAUCGGCGUCGGAGGCGGUCAAGAUCUACCUCCCGAGAGCGACGGAAAUUGUCCCGGUCCCGGUCCCGAGAUAGACAUCGGCGCCACCGCAGCCGUUCCCGGAGCCACAGCCGGGGACAUCGUCGGGCUUCCCGGGACCGGAGUGCGAAAUACAAGUUCUCCAGAGAGCGGGCAUCCAGAGAGGAGUCCUGGGAGAGCGGGCGGAGCGAGCGAGGGCCCCCGGACUGGAGGCUUGAGAGCUCCAACGGGAAGAUGGCUUCACGGAGGUCAGAAGAGAAGGAGGCCGGCGAGAUCUGAACCCGUCUCCCGGGUGCUGUAAAUAGUCUGAUAAACGUUCACACAGUCUAAAAUUACCCUUUAUAUUUGCUGAAUACAACUCAUCUUUUGUAGUUUAAAAUUUCUAUUGUUUUGGAGCUAGCUGUGAGUUUCUAGAAGUGUACAGAGUUGCUCCUGUGUUCCGGGGUCAUGUUGAGUAGGAAUAAAUAAAUCUGAUGCUGCCUCCUGA
Molecule: small RNA, 573 nt
Filed under: Pan troglodytes (chimpanzee)
Lineage: Eukaryota; Metazoa; Chordata; Mammalia; Primates; Hominidae
Description: retained intron
Source: RNAcentral